This is a non-coding RNA of Pontibacillus litoralis JSM 072002, 173 nucleotides long. NCBI's taxonomy places the organism in Bacteria, Bacillati, Bacillota, Bacilli, Caryophanales, Bacillaceae. The record is from Rfam.
UCCGUGGUGACACGGAAUCUGAAGGAAGUCGGAGGCAAAUCUCCGCCCCAAGGAAUACAAACUACAUAGAAGGCUGAUUGUCAUUGAGUGAGUUUGCUAAACAAAACAAAGCUCAUACUGCCAAAGGUGACAGUGGGUAAAUGUAGUGGGGACAUGGAGAGAAAGAGUGCAUU